GAUGAACGCUGGCGGCGUGCCUAAUACAUGCAAGUCGAGCGAACAGACGAGGAGCUUGCUCCUCUGACGUUAGCGGCGGACGGGUGAGUAACACGUGGAUAACCUACCUAUAAGACUGGGAUAACUUCGGGAAACCGGAGCUAAUACCGGAUAAUAUAUUGAACCGCAUGGUUCAAUAGUGAAAGACGGUUUUGCUGUCACUUAUAGAUGGAUCCGCGCCGCAUUAGCUAGUUGGUAAGGUAACGGCUUACCAAGGCAACGAUGCGUAGCCGACCUGAGAGGGUGAUCGGCCACACUGGAACUGAGACACGGUCCAGACUCUUACGGGAGGCAGCAGUAGGGAAUCUUCCGCAAUGGGCGAAAGCCUGACGGAGCAACGCCGCGUGAGUGAUGAAGGUCUUCGGAUCGUAAAACUCUGUUAUUAGGGAAGAACAAAUGUGUAAGUACUAUGCACGUCUUGACGGUACCUAAUCAGAAAGCCACGGCUAACUACGUG
RNAcentral lists this ribosomal RNA (496 nucleotides) under uncultured bacterium. Its description in RNAcentral is "partial 16S ribosomal RNA". It matches the Rfam family "Bacterial small subunit ribosomal RNA", at positions 28 to 507 of the family's 1533-position model. The record is from RNAcentral.